Non-coding RNA from Pecten maximus, 74 nucleotides. Lineage: Eukaryota; Metazoa; Mollusca; Bivalvia; Pectinida; Pectinidae. The record is from the annotation of a RefSeq genome assembly.
GUCUCCGUGGCGCAAUCGGUUAGCGCGUUUGGCUGUUAACCAAACAGUUGGUGGUUAAAGCCCACCUGGGGACG